This 253-nucleotide ribosomal RNA is filed under the name uncultured bacterium. RNAcentral describes it as "partial 16S ribosomal RNA". It matches the Rfam family "Bacterial small subunit ribosomal RNA", at positions 524 to 776 of the family's 1533-position model. The record is from RNAcentral.
UACGUAGGGUGCGAGCGUUGUCCGGAAUUAUUGGGCGUAAAGAGCUCGUAGGCGGCUUGUCACGUCGGGUGUGAAAGCCCGGGGCUUAACCCCGGGUCUGCAUUCGAUACGGGCUGGCUAGAGUGUGGUAGGGGAGAUCGGAAUUCCUGGUGUAGCGGUGAAAUGCGCAGAUAUCAGGAGGAACACCGGUGGCGAAGGCGGAUCUCUGGGCCAUUACUGACGCUGAGGAGCGAAAGCCAGGGGAGCGAACGGG